CUCAAGAGGAGGAUCCAGAUGCUUUCAGUUUUAACUAUUCACCAAUGGUGGAAAAGGCAGAAUGCCUAAGCUAUGUCUUGGUGGCCAAUAGGAUGGCUGUGUAUCUCCCACAUGACUCGCUGCCUCUGUCUUUCACAUGGGCUGUAAUUUAGUUCAAUUCAGAACUGCAGAUAGUACAGCUUUCACAGGAGCAAGGAUGCCUGAGCACAAGUGGCUGAGUUCCGAGUGACUUUAUGAAGCACUUUCCUACCUCCCUCCGUCAUGAAAACGGGGAUUCUGCACCUGCAUCAGGGACAGUCUGGCAAAAGCCUCUGCUAUGCCUCCGGGGACAAGGAACUAGCACAAAUAACCAUUUUGAAAUUGGAUCUUGGCAAAAUUAGCAACAAAUCCAUAAAGGAAACUGAAAGCAAUUGGAUCUCCAUCUUCAGUGGAGUCCCACAAAAGUUGGAGAAAUACAUUGUCUCCAAAGAGGAUACAGCUGUACCCUAAAAUUAGGACAUAAUUAAGAAUGAAGUUCUGAAAGGAAGUUCCUCAGUUUUUCAUACAAAAGAUUCCUGGGAAGGCAUCUGAAUCACAGCAAAAGCAACUACUUGGCCUGAAACUGGUCUGCAAAGGUGACUGACUUCAAAGUGGUUCCACACAACACCCAAGUAAAAUAAUCCGUUACUUUUUAAUUUUCUCUUAACAGCAAUUGUUAUAACGGCUACAGUGACAACAGAAAUAAUAAAUGUCUCAAGAUUUCCUGGUAAGAGCA
Molecule: long non-coding RNA, 754 nt
Filed under: Felis catus (domestic cat)
Lineage: Eukaryota; Metazoa; Chordata; Mammalia; Carnivora; Felidae
Description: lncRNA (ENSFCAG00000047711.1)
Source: RNAcentral